This 90-nucleotide transfer RNA is filed under the name Thermoplasmata archaeon. RNAcentral's name for it is "tRNA-Ser". It matches the Rfam family "tRNA". Rfam says of the family: Transfer RNA (tRNA) molecules are approximately 80 nucleotides in length. Their secondary structure includes four short double-helical elements and three loops (D, anti-codon, and T loops). Lineage: Archaea; Methanobacteriati; Thermoplasmatota; Thermoplasmata. RNAcentral also lists the same sequence under 2 other names. The record is from RNAcentral.
GCUGAGGUAGCUAAGCCCGGUUCAAGGCGCCGGCCUUGAGAGCCGGUGUCGCUCUGCGACUCGGGAGUUCAAAUCUCCCCCUCAGCGCCA